Molecule: long non-coding RNA, 5157 nt
Organism: Oreochromis aureus
Lineage: Eukaryota; Metazoa; Chordata; Actinopteri; Cichliformes; Cichlidae
Exons: 3
Source: RefSeq, a predicted model, not a curated record
CAAUUACAUACAGCUCUGGGAUUAGACGCGGUAGAGAAGGCAGAACCAUAUUUGUACAGUCACAAGAGCACCACACCUACAGAGAUGGCCUUGACAAUUUGGUAAAGAUCUUCGGUGAGUCCACCCCCCUGCAGAAAUUAACCUGUCAUGGUGCAGUGGGGUCACUGAGGGUGGAUCUGAAGUAUUCUGAGAGUAUUGCUCAGGACCAUUACAGACCAUGUCGCAUCUCCUCUUCCAUUUCUAUUUCUCAGCUGUCACCAAGGUAAAUCCGUUGCCAUGGCCACAACGAGCCCGGAUUUAAUUCCUUGAACCGGUUUCUGAUUGGCUCAGGUCUUUGUUUCCAACAAACACGGGAAAGUCUACCUCCAGGCUCCCCCUGCUGGGAGAAUGAACUCAACAUAAAACAAGUGCUGACCACAAGAUGGACGAGGAGGAGAGAAGAGUGAUGAUAGGUCCUAUCUGAUAUGCUUCCAUUGAUGUGCUUUGCGUGGCUUAUUAGGCUUCUAGCAGACUUUGUCUCACCUGUGCAUUAAGGCAAAUAAACUCAAAGAAUAAUGUUAAACGACUCUACGACUGUACUUUCCAUGGCAAAAAUCUUUGAGCAGAAAAAAAUGGUAAAGGUGGAAAGCCAAAACAAUUACACAUAAGUGAUGUUUUCAUGUUGCCACUCUGAGAAUACAGUCAGCUCUAUUAAACAAGGUGUUAUGUUUGGUUAACAAAAGGACACGCAACAAAGAGCUCAGAGAUUUUAAUGUGAAAAUUGCCAGCAGAAAAACUCAGAAUGAUAUUUAAAAAUAUUUCUAUCAAGUAUCGAGUUUAAUCUGCAAUGAUCCACCUGCAGAUUAUUAAUUCAUAAGUCUGUGUAUCAAACCAGAUCAGAAAGGAGAUUUCUAGAGUAGUUAAGACAGACUAACAAAUCAAACCUCCCCCAGAUUGAUUAAUCUGAAGCUCCAAACAAAAUCCACGUCCAGAUGUCUAAAAAACUUGACUCCCAAAAAACUUGACUCCCAGGGUUGCUCUCCAAAUGUUCACUCCACCUGCUGGUAGUCCUUGGAGAUGGGCUUAGGGCUGGCUUCCUCCCAAAACAAUCUGCUGACUCUUCAGGAAUGAAUCUAAGGCAGUGAGGUACAGGCAAAGCUAAAUUGGACUGGAAUUUUAAUUAAAGCCAGAAUAAUGCUAGCAGCAGUGUAGUGCAACAGUCUGGCAGAGAAUGAUAAGCAGAGCUGGUUUUAAGUACUGUAGAUGAGGGUGAUGAAGGUAACGAGCGACAGGUGUAUCAGUUAGAGUUUCGGUGGCCAUGCCUACUCCUGAGAGGAAGUAAGAAGAGUUAUUAUGCACAUACACACACACACACACACACACACACACACUGAGGCUAGGGAGAGGUAGACAGAGCAGUAGCAGAGAGACAGAGAGAAAGGUUGGUCAGCACUUGGAAGGCAAGACGGAGCUUAACACAAGGACCUUAGCUUGUGGACAAGAGAAGUCAGAGUACAUUUAUGCUCCAAGACUGAAAAAAACCCUAGAAAUCUCACACCAGUCCUCGGUUCAUUCAUGCUUUGCAAGUGUGUGUACCAGUUCCAGUACCACAUUCAUAUAACCAAGCCUGUCUUCAGUGAAUUGUAUGAGUCAGUACUGCCACCUACUGCCUGAUGCGUGCUUUUCAGCCUGGCUAACAAAUGCUGAUUUUUUUUCUUUCUCCCAAGGUAACUCUUUAGUUUUGCUCAUGAAACACUACUAAAAUCAGGUCGACCAAGCCUACUGACCUGCGUCACACCUCACUUAACCCUGCAAUAUGUAUUACUGUGUGAAAAUCUACUUUCCAAGCUUCAUUUGAAUCCAAAUGUUUUUUCUUUGUUUACACUCUUUGACAAAUCUAUAUGUGAAAAAUUCUGACAUGUGAUACUCUGUUCUUUUUUGUAGAGUAAUAAGGUCACAAUCUACAUGUGAUUUCAAAAUAAAAUAAUAACAAUGAAGAUGACUGAUAACCUCCCCUCUUUACGCAUACCCAGCCACAUAACAGAAUCAGAGACAGCAGUAAGUCCAGCCAGCCAGCCUGUUCAGUUAAACAGUUAUUUAUUCUGUAAGAGAGUAUGGACAUUAUCAACAGUCUAGUAACAAAUAGGUUACCAUUCAGCCAUUCAGAAGUUUUUCCUUUAUUACAUAUUAUGUACAAUUUUGUGCCAGAUUUGAAGUAAAAUGUCAAAUGCUGACACUCAACCUAUGAAGUGACUAUAAUGCAUCAGUGCGAAGUAUGAGAAGUAUAGGACGAUGUUAAAUCAAAGUGUGCACUACGGUCUUUUAGAGGUGUAGAAAAUGUUUAAAAACUGGCACAUUUUUCACAUCAACACUGUUAACAUAAAGUACAUCCAGUACUACAUAAACUGAGAAAAAAAAUUAAUAAGGAAGACUCAAUAAAGUUUUGUCAUAAAAAAACAAAACAAAUCUUUUUUUUUGUAGGUUGUGGUUUAUGGUCUCUAAACACUAACCAUUUGAUUGAUUUGAUAUUGCAAAUGCAAGAUUACGAUGAUGACGUUAGGGUUUGCGUUUACAAUUUUGUCCACAGUGCCAAAAUUUCUCAGUUUAUCAAGAUGUAGAGCUUUUCCUACCCAGAAGGCUACUGUGCCACCCUUAAAAAUCAAAAUGAAAUUCUGACACAAACGCAGAUUAAAGUACAUCUUGGACUCUCUAAGACAGACGACAUAACUGUGAGACUUUCGAGAGUUAUAAUUUUAACCUCACAGCACUUAAAUAAUGUAGCCGUUCAAUACACAGUGGUCAGAAUGGAAAACUCUGCAUGUUAUUUCUGUUGUUUUACAAACCCUCGUAUUAUUAUUAUUGUUAUUAUUAUUAUGUGAUUGACUGAACUUCCUGUCUUUGCUGUUGGGUCCCACUGGGAGCAAAAGAAAUAACUUUAAGACAACCCAGCAACACUGUUGUCAUAUUAGCAAGCCAAAUGCAUCACUUACUGUGUUAAAUAUUGCAUUUCUCUAAAUGGCUUAGACAAAACUGGUCUUUAAAGAUUCUGGGAGGUAUUUAUUUGCUGUAGCUGAGCCUGUACUGAAAGAUUCGAAAACAGUUUUCAACCCCAUCCUGCUUAGACCCACGAUUAAGACAGAAAUUUAGACAGACAUCAGUGAAAACAGGCAGACAGGAAGACGAUAAGCAGAAAGACACAAUUACUCAAACAGGAACGGAAACAGAUGUGACGACACAGACGCACGCACACACACUCAGAAAAGAGUAAACAGAAACAGAUGCUUCAAGUGCAGAAAACACUCACAGACUCACACGUGAGCAUAAAACCACAUUCAUUAGAGUAAUAAGGCACAGACAACAACCAGAAUACAAUUCAAAAAUAAAUGUACAAAAGUUAUUGUCACAAAAUCUCUUCAAUUAUAUGAAAUUAAAAAUAUUCCCAAAUUUAUUUGAGUUGGGUUUUUUUUAUUUGCUUGAAAACCUGAUAAGUUUAUUUUUUCUUUCAGUAGAUUGCGUGUUGUAUAAAUUGCGGGCGUUACGUAAAUGUUUUGCACUCAUGUUUAUUUCAUUUUAGAUAAAGAUCAAAAUGAGAAAACAACUUCCUGAAAAUCAAGGCAACAAACCUUAAGCAGUAACACCCUUUGGUUGUUUAUCAUUUCUUUAAAAAUAUAUUUUUAAAAAGAACAAAAAAAAGUCCAAUUAAAAUCUGGAAGUUUAAACAAUCAAAAAUCUUUGACAAACACAAUGUGUGACGUUUUUCAAGACAUCAACUUCAGUAGACAGAGUUAAACACUCUUAUCAGAAACACUGCCAUACAUUUUCUGGGUUGCUUAACUGUACAAACAGACAACCGUAACCAGUUUCCAUAACAACAAAAGGGUUAUGAAGUCUCGAAUAGAUGGGAAACACAAUGAGCGACCGGAUUGUGGUAUAAAAAAAGUGCCUUGUCGUGAUGUGUUAUCAGUACUUUGAUGCCUAUACAUUAAAUGAUUUCUAUAAAUACAAGAUAAAUAAAAGAUAUGUAAAAUACAAUGUAGUCUUCAUUUCUUCAUUAGCAUUUCUAUGUACAGAGUAUUACAAUUGUGUUCAGGAACCAAGCAGCAUGACGGCUGGAAACAAAUCAACUUUGUCAAAACUGUCGUUUAGAACAGCAAGAUUUGAGCUGGGGCGUUGCUCCAAAACACAGUUAUCAACAGUUUGAAAAAUGACGAUUCAAACAUUUAAAGGUUUACGUGUCAACAACCUGGAGCAUCUGUUUUUGUUUCUACACACAUGAUUACGACAAUAAGAUAAAAGUGUUUUCCUGGAUUUACAUUCACUUUGGAAGACGACCCCUUCAAUUCUUGCUGCUUUCUUAAGCACUCGCUCUAGAGCCCCAUUCAUGCAAACUCCGCACUGAAUCUUUCAAGUGCACUUUAAUCUUAUAAAACUACAUAAGGACUGGCCUGUGCACCUCAGGCUUAUUAGCAUAAAACAGCUCUUCUCUUAGAAACAGUCAUACAGUCGAAAUAAAAAAAAGAGACAAACAUUAAACUGAAGCGGCCUAAUCACACCACCCUGUAGGCCAGCUGUGACACAUUUCUUCACGAAAGCCGCAGCCAGAUUAGAUUGAGUGGUUUCCUGCCCUCAUUCUUUUCUCUACUUUAAUUUGAACUUCCUAAGCCUAAAAACUGAAGGAGCUUAACAGUCAAUAAUAUAUGUGUACAUUUAUAGAAUUCCUUCUCUCACUCCAUGCUUGUAAGGAUACAUAUCAGGGGAAAGGGGGCAUCUGAUGACUUACAAGCCUUCACAAGAUAUAAAGACAAUAUAAGGGGACUGCACUUUAUUAAGGAAGGACUAAAAUCCAGUGAAAAGGUUUUGCUUCCAUAGCGAAAAUACACAAACCCAUGUGAUAAAAGGCCUUGUUAUGUCUGAAAAAUCAUUCAAUGGAAAUAGUAUGUUUUUGGUCCAAACAGUAGACCAGACAGUCUUUUUUUUAAAAUUCACUGAGUGUGUGCAGCUCUUAUUAUUCACUGUGAGCUGAUGAUGCUAAUUAUUUGCUCUCUUAUCUCAGUGCUCACACAAAAGGGAAUCCUCAGAGCAGCAAAUGGACAACCGGCCCUGAAAGCACACAAACGUCUGGCACACUUCCUGUAGCAUUAAUGAAUCCACAUUUUUACUCUGAAAGAAAAAAAAAAA